GAUGAACGCUGGCGGCGUGCCUAAUACAUGCAAGUCGAGCGAACAGACGAGGAGCUUGCUCCUCUGACGUUAGCGGCGGACGGGUGAGUAACACGUGGAUAACCUACCUAUAAGACUGGGAUAACUUCGGGAAACCGGAGCUAAUACCGGAUAAUAUAUUGAACCGCAUGGUUCAAUAGUGAAAGACGGUUUUGCUGUCACUUAUAGAUGGAUCCGCGCCGCAUUAGCUAGUUGGUAAGGUAACGGCUUACCAAGGCAACGAUGCGUAGCCGACCUGAGAGGGUGAUCGGCCACACUGGAGCUGAGACACGGUCCAGACUCCUACGGGAGGCAGCCGUAGGGAAUCUUCCGCAAUGGGCGAAAGCUUGACGGAGCAACGCCGCGUGAGUGAUGAAGGUCUUCGGAUCUUAAAACUCUGUUAUUAGGGAAGAACAAAUGUGUAAGUAACUAUGCACGUCUUGACGGUACCUAAUCAGAAAGCCACGGCUAACUACGUG
RNAcentral lists this ribosomal RNA (497 nucleotides) under uncultured bacterium. RNAcentral describes it as "partial 16S ribosomal RNA". It matches the Rfam family "Bacterial small subunit ribosomal RNA", at positions 28 to 507 of the family's 1533-position model. The record is from RNAcentral.